This 427-nucleotide ribosomal RNA is filed under the name uncultured bacterium. RNAcentral describes it as "partial 16S ribosomal RNA". It matches the Rfam family "Bacterial small subunit ribosomal RNA", at positions 355 to 774 of the family's 1533-position model. The record is from RNAcentral.
UGGGGAAUAUUGCACAAUGGGCGCAAGCCUGAUGCAGCCAUGCCGCGUGUAUGAAGAAGGCCUUCGGGUUGUAAAGUACUUUCAGCGGGGAGGAAGGUGUUGUGGUUAAUAACCUCAGCAAUUGACGUUACCCGCAGAAGAAGCACCGGCUAACUCCGUGCCAGCAGCCGCGGUAAUACGGAGGGUGCAAGCGUUAAUCGGAAUUACUGGGCGUAAAGCGCACGCAGGCGGUCUGUCAAGUCGGAUGUGAAAUCCCCGGGCUCAACCUGGGAACUGCAUUCGAAACUGGCAGGCUAGAGUCUUGUAGAGGGGGGUAGAAUUCCAGGUGUAGCGGUGAAAUGCGUAGAGAUCUGGAGGAAUACCGGUGGCGAAGGCGGCCCCCUCGACAAAGACUGACGCUCAGGUGCGAAAGCGUGGGGAGCAAACA